Molecule: non-coding RNA, 425 nt
Organism: Paramuricea clavata
Lineage: Eukaryota; Metazoa; Cnidaria; Anthozoa; Malacalcyonacea; Plexauridae
Source: the annotation of a GenBank genome assembly
ACUUGAUAUCACACUAUACCACGCCAUAUCAACACCAUACAAUACCACACCACACCAUAGAACAUCAUAAAAUACUACACUACGCCAUGCGAUGCUAUACCAUACCACACCAUACAAAACCGUACCAACCGUACCAUACCAUACCAUACCAUACCAUACCAUACCAUACACCAUGCCAUAUACCAUACCAUAUACCAUAACAUAUCAUAUGUACCAUAUAUCAUAACAUACCAUGCCAUACCAUAUACCGGUACCAUAUCAUAUACCGGUACCAUGCCACUUGAUAUCACACUAUACCACGCCAUAUCAACACCAUACAAUACCACACCACACCAUAGAACAUCAUAAAAUACUACACUACGCCAUGCGAUGCUAUACCAUACCACACCAUACAAAACCGUACCAUACCAUACCAUACCAUACCA